This 696-nucleotide ribosomal RNA is filed under the name uncultured Gilliamella sp. RNAcentral's name for it is "bacterial SSU rRNA". It matches the Rfam family "Bacterial small subunit ribosomal RNA", at positions 662 to 1357 of the family's 1533-position model. The record is from RNAcentral. Lineage: Bacteria; Pseudomonadati; Pseudomonadota; Gammaproteobacteria; Orbales; Orbaceae.
UAGAAUUCCACGUGUAGCGGUGAAAUGCGUAGAGAUGUGGAGGAAUACCGGUGGCGAAGGCGGCCUUCUGGACAGAUACUGACGCUGAGAUGCGAAAGCGUGGGGAGCAAACAGGAUUAGAUACCCUGGUAGUCCACGCUGUAAACGAUGUCGAUUUGGAGUUUGUUGCCUAGAGUGAUGGGCUCCGAAGCUAACGCGAUAAAUCGACCGCCUGGGGAGUACGGCCGCAAGGGUUAAAACUCAAAUGAAUUGACGGGGGCCCGCACAAGCGGUGGAGCAUGUGGUUUAAUUCGAUGCAACGCGAAGAACCUUACCUGGUCUUGACAUCCACAGAAUCUUGCAGAGAUGCGAGAGUGCCUUCGGGAACUGUGAGACAGGUGCUGCAUGGCUGUCGUCAGCUCGUGUUGUGAAAUGUUGGGUUAAGUCCCGCAACGAGCGCAACCCUUAUCCUUUGUUGCCAGCGAUUCGGUCGGGAACUCAAAGGAGACUGCCGUUGAUAAAGCGGAGGAAGGUGGGGACGACGUCAAGUCAUCAUGGCCCUUACGACCAGGGCUACACACGUGCUACAAUGGCGUAUACAAAGGGAGGCGACCUCGCGAGAGCAAGCGGACCUCAUAAAGUACGUCUAAGUCCGGAUUGGAGUCUGCAACUCGACUCCAUGAAGUCGGAAUCGCUAGUAAUCGUGAAUCAGAAUGU